AAAUAAAUUGAUAUUCUCCCCUAUCUAUUUCUAUUCUCUCCCAUUUCUUUCUUUCUUUCCUCCCUCCUUUCUCCUAAUCUCUCUCCUUUUCCCUCCUCCUACAAUUGUCCUACCACAUUGGGCGUCAAUUUGGUGCCAGAGCAACUUCUUCCCUCUGAACAAAGCGUUUCCACCACAUGAAGCAAAGGAUUUUUCCCGCAGUAGCAUCUCAGCCCAUUCCCUUAAUCAACCUUGUCCACAGACAACAACCUAUUCACAAUACAAUCACCGAUCUCCCAAAAUCCACCUCUAUAUAAGCAGCAGCCUGAUUGUUCUCUUACUUAUUGUCGGCUAAUUGCCGUAGCUACCACCCAACAAAAAACAAAUGGCACAUUGUUUCACUGCCAUAAUCUCACCCCUUUUAAUGAAUGUCAUGUGAAGAGCAAUUGGGGAAGGAAAGGAUUUAGAACUAGAAGAAAGAAGGAAGAUAGGACGGAACCAACGGUAAUAUCUAAAAUUCAUACUGCGACGUCGUUCGGUGGAAUGGUGCGGUGUCGUUUUGGUCAAUUGGAUUCGUAAUAAAUUAGUUUAAGUUUUUGGUUAUUAUUGAAAUUAAAAGCACAAUUUUGUAGAAACACUAUAGAUACAGAAAUGUGGCGGAUUGCAUUUGAGUUUUAUCAUCUGACAUUUCAGUAAAAAAUUUGUUAAGAGAUUCAGCAGUUGUCCUCAUCUCGUUCUUCUUGUUUUCUUGUUUCUCUCUUUCCAUAUUUUAUUUUCUUCUUAAUUCUGUUGAUUACAGUUAAAAUCAGUUGGGGCAGAGCAAGUUCUUGUGUUGCAGUUUCGGUGAAGCUUGGAUUUAAGCUUAAGCUGUGACAAAUUGGUAUCAGAGCGGGGGUGAAAACUAGACUAUUACUGACCAUGGACACUAGAGCUAAGGUUGUGGACGAGCACUUGAAAAAGUUCGAUUUGGGGAUGGAUGAUUUGGGGAUUUCUUUUAAAUCUGUUAACAGCAAGUUGGAGAAUAAGUUAACUGCUACACGUGAAUCAUUCUAGGUAAUGGGUCAUAGGCAGGAAAAAAUGGAAGACACUAUGUUAGACUUGAAUCAAAAGUAUGAAAAAAGGGUAGCCAUGUUAGCCCAAAUAUCUUCUGAUCUAAAACGGGAUUAGAAAAACAAAAGGGUGGAAGAUUCUGUGAUAGUCUCUACACCAGAAGCUCGUAACAUCGGGAGUAGUGCUAGUACUAGAGGGGAGUAUGGUAGGAAUGCCAAACUUCCUAAAAUUGAUUUUCCUCACUUUGGAGAAGAAGGUCCCAGAGUAAAGCUUAGGAGGGCUAGGAAGUACUUUCAGCUAUAUCAAGUUCCUAAUGAGCUAAGGCUAGGGAUAGCUGAGAUGUAUUUGAAGGAUAAGGCAGAUAUAUGGUUUGAUGGGUUCAUAGCCAGCCAUCCAGGAGCAGCCUAGAAUGUGUUUUCUGAGGAAUUAUGUAAGUGGUUUGCAGAGACGACUGGGAAAGAGGUUGUUGAAGCCUGUAGUAAGAUCAAGUAGUUUGGGACUAUCUCUGAAUAUCAAGAGAGGUUUGAAGAGUUGAAAGCACAAGUGAUGAUGGCNGGACAUUCAACAUCAGAUCGACCUCAUUCCGGGGUCGAGUCUACCAAACCGACCAGCAUAUCGCCUCAGUCCCAAGGAAGCUGAAGAGUUGCAGCGACAGGUGGUAGAAUUAUUGGAAAGGGGCUACAUUCGUGAGAGUAUGAGUCCUUGUGCAGUUCCUGCUCUCCUAGUGCCGAAGAAAG
RNAcentral lists this long non-coding RNA (1766 nucleotides) under Olea europaea subsp. europaea. Lineage: Eukaryota; Viridiplantae; Streptophyta; Magnoliopsida; Lamiales; Oleaceae. The record is from RNAcentral.